CCGCAGUCCGGCGCGCGCGCCGUGCCCCCGCCGCCGCCCACUGCAGCCGAGAAGGAUUUCUUGUGUGGCUGUAAAACUGCUACGUGCCACCUGGAGCUCGGUGAACGAAGGUCGGCUGGGGACCUGGUGCCCGGCGUGUCUGGCGGCUUGAAACAGAAACGCACUCGGACUGAGAGCAACAGGGCGGUCCUAGCUAAAAUUGACGUCGAGGAAAGACGAGAGAGAAAACUAUACAAUGACGAGCCGCCGACGCGCUUGCGACGGGCUCACGACCGCCAGUCCAUCCGGCUCCACAAGAAAUAGCAACUACUUUUGGCCGGGGUUAGACUUCCCAUACAGGCCAAAAUGAAAAGCCUUUCUAAUCCCGCCUACAAGGACUUGACAAGACAACGGAUUGACAUUAUCUCCUGAGAGAAUCCCAGAUUGACGCGGAUUCUAGAAGAACCUAGAAGUUUGUGAUCGCUUGCUUCAAAAUUACGGAUAUCAUUUCUUUACAAGCGGUGUCGGUGUGCAUCUAAAUUUGUGGACGAUUUUAUAUUUAUUUACAAAGUAUUUUUAUCCUUUAUCUUUGUUUAUUCGUUGAAAGUAUUAUUUAUAAUGUACCUAUUUAUUGAUAAAUUAUUUGUUGUAAUAAAAAACCAUUAAAAUUUA
This is a long non-coding RNA of Ostrinia nubilalis (European corn borer), 651 nucleotides long. RefSeq lists it as uncharacterized. The transcript has 3 exons. Lineage: Eukaryota; Metazoa; Arthropoda; Insecta; Lepidoptera; Crambidae. The record is from RefSeq and is a predicted model, not a curated record.